Molecule: long non-coding RNA, 804 nt
Organism: Peromyscus californicus insignis
Lineage: Eukaryota; Metazoa; Chordata; Mammalia; Rodentia; Cricetidae
Exons: 5
Source: RefSeq, a predicted model, not a curated record
UCCCUCGCUCCCUCCCUCCCUUCUUCCUGAGCUCAUCCCCCAGGUUCCUGUAUCUCAGGCUGACUCUGACUCACUAGUAGCAGAGGAUGACCUUGAACCCUCCACCACCCCCUGCUUUCACCUCCCAAGUGCUGAGAUUACAGUUCUGUACCACCUGGCCGAGUACAGAAUCUUUUGUGCUUUGAGGAGUGACUUCCCAGAACUGCCUUCCUCUGUGCUUUCCACUGUCUUCCUCAUCCACAGGCAGCCCACAGCCACCCUGAUGUUGAUUGGUUUUCCUGCCUAGCAUAAGGAGCCCCUUCACAUUCCUCUCUGCCGACCUCUUAAGGACCAUUUGAGAACAUCUUUCCGGAAGAUCAAGAGUCCGGCGACGACGAGGGAGAGAACGGAGUUACAAAGAAACAGAAGUGUAGACUGAUGGAGAAAACCAGAAGGAUUUGGAGAUGGUGCUGUCUACAUGCCGAGUUUUAAUGCUUAAAUGGCACUUCCAUCAUGGAGUCACCUGUGCUAAGAUCUGGGGCUUUGUUACAAGGCUUCACUUGUAGUGGGUAGCCAUUCCAGCUUUGAUCUGGAAGUUCCAACCCCCACUGAGGCUUCAGUAACUGUCACACCUACAAGGCGGGGCCAAGGGAGGACCCUGAAGACCUGAGAACCGGAUGGGCCAGCUCUCUCUGUUCCUGGACCAUAGACGGGGAGGUUGACUGAGCAGAGCUCUAGAGAAAACCGCUGGACUGUGCUCUAGAGAAAACCGCUGGACUGUGCGAUACACCUUCCCCAGACCCUGCGACCUACCUGUCCCUUCAA